This 167-nucleotide ribosomal RNA is filed under the name Klebsiella pneumoniae. RNAcentral's name for it is "partial 16S ribosomal RNA". It matches the Rfam family "Bacterial small subunit ribosomal RNA", at positions 1 to 163 of the family's 1533-position model. The record is from RNAcentral. Lineage: Bacteria; Pseudomonadati; Pseudomonadota; Gammaproteobacteria; Enterobacterales; Enterobacteriaceae.
AAAUUGAAGAGUUUGAUCAUGGCUCAGAUUGAACGCUGGCGGUAGGCCUAACACAUGCAAGUCGAGCGGUAGCACAGAGAGCUUGCUCUCGGGUGACGAGCGGCGGACGGGUGAGUAAUGUCUGGGAAACUGCCUGAUGGAGGGGGAUAACUACUGGAAACGGUAGC